UGUUAAAAGUCAUACUCUCAAUUAGUUAUCAUAACGUUUUUCUAUAAGUUACUUCCAAUUAACAUAAUGAGUUAUGUAAUUUCAACUUAAUUUCCUGAGUUAUUGGCAUUUCAACUCGAGGAUGUGAGUCAGUUCAGUGAAACAUAAAUUUAAAUGUGUGAACAUAACUUGACAAUCUGAGUUUUAAAAAGGUAACCGGAUCUUAUAAAAACUGAUCACCACUGGCAAUAUUAAUGCGAGAUACAAAUAGUGCCGGAAAUUCGCUCUUUAUCUGAUAAGGGACUAAAUAUGAUGUAAGAUUUAGUCAGACUUUAUAAAGUUAUCCAUCCAAGUUAGAAUUGCAUAUUAAAUGAAGAAGAGGAACACCACCUGACCAGAUGAAGGACGUCGAAAGCAAAGUCGCGGAUGAAUACCAAUUUUUCCAAGACCUCUGUCCCAAAGGCGUUCAAAUUCGGCGGGACAUUUUUUUGAAAUGCGAAGCGAGCUGGAGUCAUAGUAAGGUGGUCCAUUAUUUAAAGUUUGGCAAAAACUGUGGAUGAAGUGGAGCUGUCAGUGGCCUGGAUCUGAGACUGCUGGAGGUCUACAAAGCAGCAACCAAAUCUGGAAAGAAGCAGCCACUCAAAGACAUUUUGGACUGCCUUGCAAAAGAUGACACGAAUGAAAGGAGAAGGGCUGCUGCUCUGCUUGGUUUGCCACGUUACAUAUCUGGGGAAGAUCCAUCAACUGUCAUCAGGAUGUGUGAUGCUCAUGCUGAUAUUCUGGAUGAUGCCAUGAAGGGGAUGCAGGUUGGUCUCCUGAUUGCCUGUGAAGGUAGGGAACUAGGGGCCAUCCCACACGAGGUCUUCGACGUGGCAGUUGUGGUGGAGGAGACCAUUGUGCUUCACAACAUUAAAGAUGUGACACUUGGCUUUGCUAUGCUUAUGGGUGUCAUCUACUGUAUCAAUCUCAAGUAUCCAAAUGACAUGAAGUAUUCGUUUGAGUUUCUUCAGAGAGUGGUGAUGAAGAUCAGACCAGACCUCAGCUCGAGUACAUGGUUUGAGAAACAAAAUCUUGAGGUACAAACUGUAACAUCUGGUAUGUUUACAGUUUUGUUUUCUUAAAUAAGAGUUCCUGUAAGAAUUUGUUCAGUUUGUUUUAUGCACUAAAUGUUAAUACUAAUGGUUAUGCACUAAAACAUUUAGCAUUGUGCUGAAUUCAUGGAAAAACCUCUCAGGGUUUUUGUGAGUUUGUUAAAACACUGAUCGUUUUGCACUUUUUGGACUGUUUUUGAGAGAGCUAGCUAGUUGUAUUGACUUUGCACUGCCACUGUUCAACGUGGUUAGAAUGUUUUUUAAAAUAAUGGUCUGAUUUAAAUGGAGGACUGAAACUCACCAAUAAAAUACACUUAAAAUGCACCAAUUAAAUAAAUAAGAAAACUUCACCUCAUAUCUUAUAAUUUACCUUGAUAUUUUUCCAGCUUAGUUCCUACAAACAAUAUUUUUGUAGCACAUAAUUUAAUAUAUAUGUGUGUUUGGCCUUUACUUGUAGAUGCAUUCAUGUCUUAAGUCUGUGUGUGUGUCCCCUUCCCUCAAGUAUUUUUAAUUGUUAUUUUUACAUAUCUCUGUCUUGUAUUAGGCCUCAUUUUGCAAAUAAGUUGUGCUGUCUUUCUUGGGUCAGCUCCUUCACUAUUGGUCAACAGACAAGAAGGAGCAGAAUCCAUGUGCAGAUCUGUUGACCAAUAGUUGAACUUACCCAAGAAGGACAGCCCCCUUUAAGAUGGUCCCCACAGCCAGCUGACUUUAGAAAAAUGUCACUGCCCACCUUAUUUGCAUAAUAAAGCAGAAAUGCAUAAGGUAAAGUAAAAACAUGAGACAUGUAAAAGCAGCUUAUGGAAAAAAAAGUUUUUGGGGGGAAAAGGAUAAAAAUAAACAUUUAAGAAUCAUAAAUGAAUCUACAAAGGGUAAAAACAAAAUUUUUACAAUAAAACAUUAGGUAAAGUUCUUAAUUGGUGCCUUUUAAAUGCAUUUAUUUGAGAUUUAUAUAAAAAAUAUAUAUUUCUGUUUGUCAAAAAAUUAAUUUCUGUUUUUGUCAGUUUUGGUCCUUCAAUAAAUGUCAACACUUCUGAUUGUCUUGAACAAAUGUUUUCUUUUAUGCUUGAUUUAAGGCUUAUCUCUUUUUUUGAUAGAGAAAGAUAAAAAUAAAUGUAUAAUAUUUGAAAU
Molecule: long non-coding RNA, 2198 nt
Organism: Xiphophorus hellerii (green swordtail)
Lineage: Eukaryota; Metazoa; Chordata; Actinopteri; Cyprinodontiformes; Poeciliidae
Exons: 4
Source: RefSeq, a predicted model, not a curated record